This 4775-nucleotide long non-coding RNA is filed under the name Apis mellifera (honey bee). Its description in RNAcentral is "uncharacterized LOC102654505". Lineage: Eukaryota; Metazoa; Arthropoda; Insecta; Hymenoptera; Apidae. The record is from RNAcentral.
AUUGUGUUGGUAUGAAUGCGCAGAAACGAAUGCGCGGAAGUGUACAAGUUGAUACGUAAUGAGGAAGACGACUUUUCUCUUUAUGGUGAAAUUAUCGUGUGAAAGAGUAUCGACAGCUAGAUAAACCAGAGAAGAAUGGAUUAAUCUUAUUUUGAAUUUCUGGUGCGUGGAAGGGAACGUGUGAAAUUUUAUAUUUAUGUUUAUAUAUAUGAUAUUCUGUGGUAAAGUCGAAAUAUAACCUCAAUGUAUAUAUAUUAGAGCGCGAAUGUUUAUACACUUACGAAAUAUUCAAAGAGUAAUUCGUUGAAAAUUUUAUUUUACUUACAAUUGCGUUGGUACGAAUGCGCAGAUACAAUUGCGUUGGUAGGAAUGCGCAGAAACGAAUGCGCGGAAGUGUACAAGUUGAUACGUAAUGAGGAAGACGACUUUUCUCUUUAUGGUGAAAUUAUCGUGUGAAAGAGUGUAGACAGCUAGAUAAAUCAGAGAAGAAUGGAUUAGUCUUAUUUUGAAUUUCUGGUGCGUGGAAGGGAACGUGUGAAAUUUUAUAUUUAUGUUUAUAUACAUGAUAUUCUGUGGUAAAAUCGAAAUAUAACCUCAAUGUAUAUAUAUUAGAGCGCGAAUGUUUAUACACUUACGAAAUAUUCAAAGAGUAAUUCGUUGAAAAUUUUAUUUUACAUACAAUUGCGUUGGUACGAAUGCGCAGAAACGAAUGCGCGGAAGUAUACAAGUUGAUACGUAACGAGGAAGACGACUUUUCUCUUUAUGGUGAAAUUAUCGUGUGAAAGAGUGUAGACAGCUAGAUAAACCAGAGAAGAAUGGAUUAGUCUUGUUUUGAAUUUCUUGUGCGUGGAAGGGAACGUGUGAAAUUUUAUAUUUAUAUUUAUAUACAUGAUAUUCUGUGGUAAAGUCGAAAUAUAACCUCAAUGUAUAUAUAUUAGAGCGUGAAUAUUUACACACUUACGAAAUAUUCAAAGAGUAAUUCGUCGAAAAUUUUAUUUUGCUUACAAUUGCGUUGGUACGAAUGCGCAGAUACGAAUGCGCGGAAGUAUACAAGUUGAUACGUAACGAGGAAGACGACUUUUCUCGAUUUAUGGUGAAAUUAUCGUGUGGAAGAGUAUCGACAGCUAGAUAAACCAGAGAAGAAUGGAUUAGUCUUAUUUUGAAUUUUUGGUGCGUGGAAGGGAACGUGUGAAAUUUUAUAUUUAUGUUUAUAUACAUGAUAUUCUGUGGUAAGUCAAAAUAUAACCUCAAUGUUUAUAUAUUAGAGCGUGAAUGUUACGAGAUAUUCAAAGAAUAUUUCGUCGUAAAUUUUAUUUCACGUAAGUACAUGUCUAUUUUCUAUUUGUUAUAUUUUUUAUUGAAGAUAUAAACUUUUAUAAAUUAUUGCGCAUUCAUGUUCAACUUUCGAUAAUUCAAUUUAUCCCUAAUUUACGAUCAUUGCCAGAUUUAACGCGAAUAGGUUAUGUUAGAUUGCGUUUUGCUAUAAAAGUAAUUCCUUUUUAUUCACGAAUCUUUUGUCUUCGAAAAGGUUAAAAAAAUUCUCAAAAUUCUCAAAAUCCCGAGCAUGAAUAAUAGAAUCAAUUUUUUAGAGAUUUCAAAGUUUCGAACAGGGACCUCUGUAUCAUCGAGAUGAACGAAAAAUACGGUGAAAAAGUUACAGAUGUCAAAUUCAAAAAAUAACAAUUAUUAGUGCUGUCCCUCAAAAAAAUAGCAAUUGUCUCGAACCACUGUGCCAUAAAUCACGUGCAAUGGAACUUGCUUGACACAGACUGUCCGCGGGCAAAUUGUCCGUCAGUGUAGAGUGGCCUUUAGAUUCUGCCCUUCUGUUUGCAAUUGAUGUCCUAUCAUAAGCGAUCUACACACGAUUGAAACACGAUGAAACGCGCAUAGGUUUCGUGAUACAAGUAUUAUCAAUGUGUGCAGAUUGGUACAAGGAUUAUCAAUUUCAGAUGCAAUUUGGCCGCAUCGAUACAGAAAUAGCUAUAUAUAUUCCUCCUAGUCGAUAAGGAAAGUGUAUUACUGAUACAGAUUUCAUCGUGUAUGGCUUAAAAUUAUUAUGCAGCGUCAGUAUUUUUAAUCGUCCAACUACUCUCUUAUUUAAGAUGAAAUUUAAAUAUUGUCAUCUUUUCAACAAAUUUUCUAAAUGAAUCGUCAUUAUUUGACAUAUUGGAAAUCUUAUCUAAUAUAUUAUUAUUAACUUUUUUUUAAAAUAUAAUUCAAAAUUUUCAAAUCAAGCUUGAAUGAAAUUAUCUUCAAUAUAACCUUAAAUGAUCAAUUUACACAAAUUGAAUUUAUUUCUCGAAAAUGAAAACGAAAUGACACGAAAUCUGACAAAACUGUCUAAAAUAUUCGUGGAAAGGAAUUGCCCGGCCAAAUGUAGUAUGUUUCAGAUAACAAGAAGAACGAGGUUCAACGCGUUUAGGUCGAUCAUUUGUCAGUUAGAUCGAGCAUGAACUCGGCGAACAUCGACGCCCUCGCCACCACCCCUGUAAUUUAUUUCUCCUCGAAGAGACACAAGGGAAGAGAGAGGGCAAGGUUUAUUCCUGUACGAUGAUUCAGGAACGAGAGGCGACACCGGAGGAUAAAAGUGAGAGAAAUAAUCUCUCUCUCUCCGGAAACUUCUCCUUCCUCCAAGAUCUCGAAUGCAAAGAAUGGCGGGGAGGAAAGGUGGCGUGACAUCAUUUACGAAGGUCGACGUCACAUUGCAGCGCAAAGAUUCCAUAGAAAAGCCCGAGCCCGAGCUGUUGACACGCCGGUCUAUUACGUACUGGCAGCUUUUAUCCAACAAAAGAGGGCAUUUAGGCGGCGAAAUUGUAAAUUCAAUUUCCUACAAACGUCCAACCCUUUCCCAUCUCUUCCCCAACCCUUACUUUUCAAAAAACGGAAUUAUUUUAUCGCGAGACGAGGAACAUUUUCCAAGAUAUUUUUGUUCCAACGAACGCGUCUGAUUUUUAUUUUCUUUUUUCUUUGUUACUUGGAUAUAUUAAUUUUUCGGAAUUUAAUAACGAUCUUUGAAGUUUUUCAAUUUGCCAACAAGUUUGACUAUGAAUUUUUAUGAAUAUAUUUUUCUUUCUCUUCUCUUUCUUUCUCUCUCGUUUCAUCUAAUGAGAAUUCAAAUCAUUUACAACUAAUAAAUGACUCGAUUAAUUUUCCAACAAUUUUUGUCUGUUGUUUCUAGAAUUCAAGAUGCCUUCAAGUGAUUAUACACUUUUGUACAGGAUUAAUAAUUAUUUAAGAAUCAGAAAGAAGAGAAAUUCGAAAUUCCAAGCAACGUUUUAACGAAGAAUGAUGCGAGAAAUACACAUUUUUCUCGAGGAGAGAUGUAAAACUCUGUGCGUGUUAAACGCACGUAUCUCCAUGAGAAUUGUGCUCUUGCCACUAUUGUUCUUUCGAGUUCUUAUUCCCCCUCGUUCUGACCCAGUUUCGCUAACAACAAGACAGACAACAGAGAAUUCCUCGAUCGUUGGCCAGGUGCAAACUUUUUCUCCAAACCGUCGAAACACUCCCCCUUCGUUCCCGGAAGAAGAUCUUGGGAUCUAUCUCGAAACAACUUCCUCGAAAGAUCGAGUCAGAGAAUUUUUUUAUCAUUUUCCUCGAAAGCACGAAUAAAAUAUCACGACGAGUAGUAAUUUUUCACAUUAGGAUUAUUAAUUCACACAAGUGAGAGUUAUUCUCCAUCGAGGCAUUGCGAGAAUAUCAACUGCUAAAAAUAAAAAAAGGAUUUUAAAAAGACUCUCUACUCUGUUGACUGGGCAGUGAGAAGAUAAAUAAAAUACGGAUUUAUCUGAAAGAAUAUAUUUAAUUACACAUAAUUUCGUUUACAAAAUUUAAAGUACGAAGGAAAGGAAAUGGUGGCAACAUUCAGUAAUAAAAUUUCACCGAGCUUUAAAUUUCUAUAACUCGUCACGCAACAUUAUUUCAUGGAAUAAAAAGGAAAGAGUCGAAAAGAUUAAACACCUUCUCUUUCUAAAUUGUUUACCAAAGGCUGCCAAGAGAUAUUCCCUCGAAGGCUCCCCUCGUUCGAAUAAGGGAGCUUCUUCCUCGCGCCUUUCCUGAAUAUAUUCAUGACUCGGUUGAAAUCACGGAGGAGGUCCGACAGCGCCGCUUUAAAAUCGCGUUCGAACGACCGAGUGACGAAGGGAGGAGAGCCAGCCAGCCGGCUGAAUUUUAUGCACUCCCUUUCUUCCUUCCUUCCUUCCUGAAUUUGUAUUCGCCGCGGGGGGGAGAGGAGGAAAAAGGUUGCGCACGGGGAAAAAUUUGUUCGACUUAUGCCUCCCUCCUCCUCCUAGGGUUUGCUUUGAAUUUCUGAGGAGGAUUGAUAAGGGUUCGCGAUUAGGUUUCUCUCAGGAUAUAUGUAUAUCCUUUUUCGUUUUUCCUUUUUUCUUCUCUUUGGUGUGGAGAUCGGAUCGGAUCGAUUUUGGAUUCGAGUUUAUUUAUUAUGGAAUGGUGGAGCAAAUUUUUGUCAAAUUUUUUCAAGAAAAAUCAUCGUUCACUAUUAUUUAAUAGCUGGAUGGAAAGAUUUACGAUUUCGAAGAAAAGAGAAUAGGUUUUUUACGACCGAAUCAAAACAAUGUCAUUGUCGUAAAGUAGAAUCAAGCUUCCAAAUUUUUUUACACGUUUCUGCAACACGAUCUCCGUGCAAUCUCGCGAAUACCUCGAAUCUUCGUGCUAAAAAACUUCAAGAAGUUUUUACACAAGAAGUUUUCAUUCAAGUUACACUCCCACGAGCAAAAAUAAAAUCUCAAGAUGUCGAGAAACACGAAUAACAACACGAU